Molecule: ribosomal RNA, 523 nt
Filed under: uncultured cyanobacterium
Lineage: Bacteria; Bacillati; Cyanobacteriota
Description: bacterial SSU rRNA
Rfam family: Bacterial small subunit ribosomal RNA
Source: RNAcentral
AUACGGGGGAUGCAAGCGUUAUCCGGAAUCAUUGGGCGUAAAGCGCCUGUAGGUUGUUUAAUAAGUCUGUUGUUAAAGACUAGGGCUUAACCCUAGAAAAGCAAUGGAAACUACUAGACUAGAGUAUGGCAGGGGUAGAGGGAAUUUCUAGUGUAGCGGUGAAAUGCGUAGAUAUUAGAAAGAACACCGGUGGCGAAAGCGCUCUACUGGACCAUUACUGACACUCAGAGGCGAAAGCUAGGGUAGCAAAAGGGAUUAGAUACCCCUGUAGUCCUAGCCGUAAACGAUGGAUACUACAUGUUGUGCAUUAUGUACAGUAUGGUAGCUAACGCGUUAAGUAUCCCGCCUGGGGAGUACGCUCGCAAGGGUGAAACUCAAAGGAAUUGACGGGGGCCCGCACAAGCGGUGGAGCAUGUGGUUUAAUUCGAUGCAACGCGAAGAACCUUACCAGGACUUGACAUACUACAAAUUCUUUUGAGAAAAAGAAGUGCCUUCGGGAAUGUAGAUACAGGUGGUGCAUGGC